ACAGCGUUGCGGUCAGGACAGAGCAAAAAAAACAAGACAUCAGUAUUGCAGAGUAUUUGCUAGUACCUGGUUCCCAAGCUAAGAUCUCUCAUUGAAAUUGGAGCUCACCCGUUCCACUAGACUGUCUGGUCAGCAAGCAAUCACCAGGAAUCGCCUGUAUCCGUAUCUGCCUGCCGGGACACUCACCGCCCCCUUGAAUUAUUUAUUUAUUUAUUUAUUUAUUUAUUUAUUUAUACAUGAGCUGUUGGGAAUAUAACUCAGAUCCUCACGCCCACACACCAAGCAUGUGCCUAACUGGCCCAGCUCUUGGUGUUCGAGAGCCUUCUCCCUUCUCCAGAAAGAGGAGUGGAACAGGCACACGUGAAUUCACUCUGUUGAGCCUGGAAGAGGAGAAAGGCUGCCCAUUUUCUAGAACGUUCCUCAUGAGCUGUGUGCAUGUACCAAGAAGACUCACUUGGACCCCAGAGCUGGGGCUGACCUAACUGAGAUGUUACCCAGGGGUGUCCUCACUGUGGCCACCGUGGCUCCACAGAGUACCCACUUAUAACAAAAAUAAAAAUGUUCUACAA
Molecule: long non-coding RNA, 569 nt
Filed under: Mus pahari (shrew mouse)
Lineage: Eukaryota; Metazoa; Chordata; Mammalia; Rodentia; Muridae
Description: lncRNA (MGP_PahariEiJ_G0003169.1)
Source: RNAcentral